RNAcentral lists this ribosomal RNA (253 nucleotides) under uncultured bacterium. Its description in RNAcentral is "partial 16S ribosomal RNA". It matches the Rfam family "Bacterial small subunit ribosomal RNA", at positions 524 to 776 of the family's 1533-position model. The record is from RNAcentral.
UACGGGGGGGGCAAGCGUUGUUCGGAAUUACUGGGCGUAAAGGGUUUGUAGGUGGCCAACUAAGUCAGACGUGAAAUCCCUCAGCUUAACUGGGGAACUGCGUCUGAUACUGGUUGGCUUGAGUGCAGGAGAGGAACGCGGAAUUCCAGGUGUAGCGGUGAAAUGCGUAGAUAUCAGGAGGAAUACCGAUGGCGAAGGCAGGUCUCUGGGCUGACACUGACGCUCAUGCACGAAAGCGUGGGGAGCAAACAGG